This 116-nucleotide ribosomal RNA is filed under the name Pteropus alecto (black flying fox). Lineage: Eukaryota; Metazoa; Chordata; Mammalia; Chiroptera; Pteropodidae. The record is from RNAcentral.
GUCUACAGUCAUGCCUCCCUGAACAAGCCCGAUGUCUGAUCUCAGAAGCUAAGCAGGGUCGGGCCUGGUUAGUACUUGGAUGGGAGACCACCUAUGAAGACUAGGUGCUGUAGGCA